UACGUAGGGACCAAGCGUUGUCCGGAUUCAUUGGGCGUAAAGAGCUCGUAGGCGGUUCGAUAAGUCGGGUGUGAAACCUCCAGGCUCAACCUGGAGACGCCACCCGAUACUGUCGUGACUAGAGUCCAGUAGGGGAGCGUGGAAUUCCUGGUGUAGCGGUGAAAUGCGCAGAUAUCAGGAGGAACACCGAUGGCGAAGGCAGGUCUCUGGGCCACUACUGACGCUGAGAAGCGAAAGCGUGGGGAGCGAACAGG
This 254-nucleotide ribosomal RNA is filed under the name uncultured bacterium. Its description in RNAcentral is "partial 16S ribosomal RNA". It matches the Rfam family "Bacterial small subunit ribosomal RNA", at positions 524 to 776 of the family's 1533-position model. The record is from RNAcentral.